UCGCGAAAACUUUGCAAUACACGAAAGUGUGACAGGGUCAUCCCGAGUGCCGACCGCUGAGGUUGGCUUUUACUCAGUCUAGAAAGCUGGGGGAAUAAGGAGAGGGCAAGUCUGGUGUCAGCCGCCGCGGUAAUACCAGCUCUCCGAGUGGUGUGGACGUUUAUUGGGCCUAAAGCAUCCGUAGCUGGCUGAACAAGUCCCCUGUUAAACCCACCGAUUUAAUCGUUGGUCUGCGGGGGAUACUGCUCGGCUAGGGGACGAGAGAGGCAGGCGGUAUUCCCGGGGUAGGGGUGAAAUCCUAUAAUCCCGAGAAGACCACCAGUGGCGAAGGCUGCCUGCUAGAACGCGCCCGACGGUGAGGGAUGAAAGCUGGGGGA
This 377-nucleotide ribosomal RNA is filed under the name uncultured archaeon. RNAcentral's name for it is "bacterial SSU rRNA". It matches the Rfam family "Archaeal small subunit ribosomal RNA", at positions 339 to 718 of the family's 1478-position model. The record is from RNAcentral.